UUUGUUACUUCAAACCAAUCGGACUUCGGUCUGACAUCAAGUGAUAUUGAACAAUUUAGCUGAUCGCACGGUCUAAGAACCGGCGACAUAUCCUUCAAAUGUCUGCCUUAUCAACUUUCGAUGGUAGAUUAUGCGCCUACCAUGGUUGUAACGGGUAACGGAGAAUCAGGGUUUGAUUCCGGAGAGGGAGCCUGAGAAACGGCUACCACAUCCAAGGAAGGCAGCAGGCACGCAAAUUACCCACUCCCGGCACGGGGAGGUAGUGACGAAAAAUAACAAGCUGGUCUCAAUGAGUUCCAGCAUUGUGAUGGGAACAAUUUAAAUCUUUUAUCGAGGAUCUAUUGGAGGGCAAGUCUGGUGCCAGCAGCCGCGGUAAUUCCAGCUCCAAUAGCGUAUAUUAAAGUUGUUGCGGUUAAAAAGCUCGUAGUUGGAUCUAGGAUUAGGGCUACGGUCGUUCAGCUUGGACGUACUGUAUGCCCGACUCCUUUUCUCUAGUAUUCGAUUGUUGCUCUUAAAUGAGUGACUUUAGUUGCUGGAACUUUUACCUUGAAAAAAUUGAAGUGCUCAAAGCAGGUU
This 576-nucleotide ribosomal RNA is filed under the name uncultured eukaryote. Its description in RNAcentral is "SSU rRNA". It matches the Rfam family "Eukaryotic small subunit ribosomal RNA", at positions 203 to 786 of the family's 1831-position model. The record is from RNAcentral.